UGAGGAAUAUUGGUCAAUGGGCGAGAGCCUGAACCAGCCAAGUCGCGUGAGGGAUGACGGCCCUACGGGUUGUAAACCUCUUUGCCGGGGAGCAAUGCUCCGCACGAGUGCGGAGCGGGAGAGUACCCGGAGAAAAAGCAUCGGCUAACUCCGUGCC
RNAcentral lists this ribosomal RNA (157 nucleotides) under uncultured bacterium. RNAcentral describes it as "partial 16S ribosomal RNA". It matches the Rfam family "Bacterial small subunit ribosomal RNA", at positions 355 to 509 of the family's 1533-position model. The record is from RNAcentral.